GUGAGCGCUGGCGGUAGGCCUAACACAUGCAAGUCGAACGGCAGCACAGUAAGAGCUUGCUCUUACGGGUGGCGAGUGGCGGACGGGUGAGGAAUACAUCGGAAUCUACUUUUUCGUGGGGGAUAACGUAGGGAAACUUACGCUAAUACCGCAUACGACCUACGGGUGAAAGCAGGGGAUCUUCGGACCUUGCGCGAUUGAAUGAGCUGAUGUCGGAUUAGCUAGUUGGCGGGGUAAAGGCCCACCAAGGCGACGAUCCGUAGCUGGUCUGAGAGGAUGAUCAGCCACACUGGAACUGAGACACGGUCCAGACUCCUACGGGAGGCAGCAGUGGGGAAUAUUGGACAAUGGGCGCAAGCCUGAUCCAGCCAUACCGCGUGGGUGAAGAGGGCCUUCGGGUUGUAAAGCCCUUUUGUUGGGAAAGAAAAGCAGCAGGUUAAUACCCCGCUGCUCUGACGGUACCCAAAGAAUAAGCACCGGCUAACUUCGUG
Molecule: ribosomal RNA, 491 nt
Filed under: uncultured bacterium
Lineage: Bacteria
Description: partial 16S ribosomal RNA
Rfam family: Bacterial small subunit ribosomal RNA
Source: RNAcentral